This is a long non-coding RNA of Mesocricetus auratus (golden hamster), 729 nucleotides long. RefSeq lists it as uncharacterized. The transcript has 2 exons. Lineage: Eukaryota; Metazoa; Chordata; Mammalia; Rodentia; Cricetidae. The record is from RefSeq and is a predicted model, not a curated record.
CAAGGGUGCUGGGACCCUAACUCAUGUCCUCUGAAAGAGCAGCAUGUUCCUUUAACUGCUAAGCCAUCUCUCCAGCUUCCAUUUCAGAUUUCAGUUCUGCAGGAAAUAUGCCAGGGCUGAGCUUCUGUUUCCUAGCACCUUUGGUUUCUGACACCUGUUUGGCCUUUCCCGUGCCUGUGUGACCUCAGUUUGCCAUGAGCUGGGUAGGCAAGGAAAUCUCAAGAUGUUAGCUUGUUUCUACAAACUGAAGUUCUCUGACAAAGCCACAUUAAUAUGGAGGAAGCUGUAGAUUUCCUGAUCUCGGCCAUCGAGAACGUCAUGAUUGUGGAGAGAGAGAAGUUAAGAGUCAAAGCUGGCUUGGGAUUAUCUUUAGUUCCCUUUAAUAGUUGUUUACUGUCAACUUCUGCAUCUCACCUUGAAUUCUUACACUGCUGGAUGACUUUGAGAGUACCCAGUGAAGCCUGGCAGACUCUGACCUCCUGCAACCCUAAGGUUAAGGAUGCUGUUAAGAUGACAUAUGAGUCUUGCAGACAGAUUGCUCUGCCAUCCUGGAGCUUAACUGCUGAUCCCACCAAUGUAACUGGGACAUGUGUUGAUUUAUGGUUUCUUUUGUUUGGUGAGUGUACAACUUCAUGUAAUGUGGAACAUGUCAUUUCAGAGUAACUUGAAUACGUGUCCCUGAACUGUGGUCACUCAUAUUUGGGUCUGAAUAAAUCAUUUUCUUCGAGA